This 465-nucleotide ribosomal RNA is filed under the name uncultured Klebsiella sp. Its description in RNAcentral is "bacterial SSU rRNA". It matches the Rfam family "Bacterial small subunit ribosomal RNA", at positions 338 to 795 of the family's 1533-position model. The record is from RNAcentral. Lineage: Bacteria; Pseudomonadati; Pseudomonadota; Gammaproteobacteria; Enterobacterales; Enterobacteriaceae.
CCUACGGGUGGCAGCAGUGGGGAAUAUUGCACAAUGGGCGCAAGCCUGAUGCAGCCAUGCCGCGUGUGUGAAGAAGGCCCUCGGGUUGUAAAGCACUUUCAGCGGGGAGGAAGGCGUUAAGGUUAAUAACCUUGGCGAUUGACGUUACCCGCAGAAGAAGCACCGGCUAACUCCGUGCCAGCAGCCGCGGUAAUACGGAGGGUGCAAGCGUUAAUCGGAAUUACUGGGCGUAAAGCGCACGCAGGCGGUCUGUCAAGUCGGAUGUGAAAUCCCCGGGCUCAACCUGGGAACUGCAUUCGAAACUGGCAGGCUAGAGUCUUGUAGAGGGGGGUAGAAUUCCAGGUGUAGCGGUGAAAUGCGUAGAGAUCUGGAGGAAUACCGGUGGCGAAGGCGGCCCCCUAGACAAAGACUGACGCUCAGGUGCGAAAGCGUGGGGAGCAAACAGGAUUAGAUACCCUAGUAGUC